UACGUAGGGUGCAAGCGUUGUCCGGAAUUAUUGGGCGUAAAGAGCUCGUAGGCGGUCUGUCGCGUCUGGUGUGAAAACUCGGGGCUUAACCCCGGGCCUGCAUCGGGUACGGGCAGACUAGAGUGCGGUAGGGGAGACUGGAAUUCCUGGUGUAGCGGUGAAAUGCGCAGAUAUCAGGAGGAACACCGGUGGCGAAGGCGGGUCUCUGGGCCGUAACUGACGCUGAGGAGCGAAAGCGUGGGGAGCGAACAGG
This 253-nucleotide ribosomal RNA is filed under the name uncultured bacterium. RNAcentral's name for it is "partial 16S ribosomal RNA". It matches the Rfam family "Bacterial small subunit ribosomal RNA", at positions 524 to 776 of the family's 1533-position model. The record is from RNAcentral.